UGGGGAAUAUUGGACAAUGGGCGCAAGCCUGAUCCAGCCAUGCCGCGUGAGUGAUGAAGGCCUUAGGGUUGUAAAGCUCUUUCGCCGACGAAGAUAAUGACGGUAGUCGGAGAAGAAGCCCCGGCUAACUUCGUGCCAGCAGCCGCGGUAAUACGAAGGGGGCUAACGUUGUUCGGAAUCACUGGGCGUAAAGCGCACGUAGGCGGAUUGUUAAGUCAGGGGUGAAAGCCUGGAGCUCAACCCCAGAACUGCCCUUGAUACUGGGCAAUCUCGAGUCCGGAAGAGGUAAGUGGAACUGCGAGUGUAGAGGGUGAAAUUCGUAGAUAUUCGCAAGAACACCAGUGGCGAAGGCGGCUUACUGGUCCGGUACUGACGCUGAGGUGCGAAGCGUGGGGAGCAAACAGGAUUAGAUACCCUGGUAGUCCACGCCGUAAACGAUGGAGGCUAGCCGUUGGCGAGCAUGCUCGUCAGUGGCGCAGCUAACGCAUUAAGCCUCCCGCCUGGGGAGUACGGUCGCAAGAUUAAAACUUAAAUGAAUUGACGGGGUCAUAGCUG
This 555-nucleotide ribosomal RNA is filed under the name uncultured bacterium. Its description in RNAcentral is "partial 16S ribosomal RNA". It matches the Rfam family "Bacterial small subunit ribosomal RNA", at positions 355 to 932 of the family's 1533-position model. The record is from RNAcentral.